GACGAACGCUGGCGGCGUGCUUAACACAUGCAAGUCGAACGAUGAAGCACUUCGGUGUGGAUUAGUGGCGAACGGGUGAGUAACACGUGAGCAACCUGCCCUUCACUUCGGGAUAACUUCUGGAAACGGAUGCUAAUACCGGAUAUGACCAGUCUACGCAUGUGGGUUGGUGGAAAGAUUUUUUGGUGGGGGAUGGGCUCGCGGCCUAUCAGCUUGUUGGUGGGGUAGUGGCCUACCAAGGCUUUGACGGGUAGCCGGCCUGAGAGGGCGACCGGCCACACUGGGACUGAGAUACGGCCCAGACUCCUACGGGAGGCAGCAGUGGGGAAUAUUGCACAAUGGGCGGAAGCCUGAUGCAGCAACGCCGCGUGCGGGAUGACGGCCUUCGGGUUGUAAACCGCUUUCACCAGGGGCGAAUUGUGACGGUACCUGGAGAAGAAGCACCGGCUAACUACGUG
RNAcentral lists this ribosomal RNA (458 nucleotides) under uncultured organism. RNAcentral describes it as "bacterial SSU rRNA". It matches the Rfam family "Bacterial small subunit ribosomal RNA", at positions 28 to 507 of the family's 1533-position model. The record is from RNAcentral.